AAAGAUUUAGUUUAAAUUUUAAAACAUUAACUUGUCAAGUUAAAAAUACAUUAAAUGUAAUCUUUA
RNAcentral lists this transfer RNA (66 nucleotides) under Eysarcoris montivagus. Its description in RNAcentral is "tRNA-Asp". It matches the Rfam family "tRNA". From Rfam's summary of the family: Transfer RNA (tRNA) molecules are approximately 80 nucleotides in length. Their secondary structure includes four short double-helical elements and three loops (D, anti-codon, and T loops). Lineage: Eukaryota; Metazoa; Arthropoda; Insecta; Hemiptera; Pentatomidae. The record is from RNAcentral.